AUUGAACGCUGGCGGCAGGCCUAACACAUGCAAGUCGGGCGGUAACAGGAAUGAGCUUGCUGAUUCGCUGACGAGCGGCGGACGGGUGAGUAAUGUCUGGGAAACUGCCUGAUGGAGGGGGAUAACUACUGGAAACGGUAGCUAAUACCGCAUAACGUCUACGGACCAAAGUGGGGGACCUUCGGGCCUCAUGCCAUCAGAUGUGCCCAGAUGGGAUUAGCUAGUAGGUGGGGUAACGGCUCACCUAGGCGACGAUCCCUAGCUGGUCUGGGAGGAUGACCAGCCAACAGGGAACUGAGACACGGUCCAGACUCCUACGGGAGGCAGCAGUGGGGAAUUUUGCACAAUGGGCGCAAGCCUGAUGCAGCCAUGCCGAGUGUAUGAAGAAGGCCUUCGGGUUGUAAAGUACUUUCAGCGGGGAGGAAGGUGUUGUGGUUAAUAACCGCAGCAAUUGACGUUACCCGCAGAAGAAGCACCGGCUAACUCCGUGCCAGCCGCCGCCGUAA
Molecule: ribosomal RNA, 506 nt
Filed under: uncultured bacterium
Lineage: Bacteria
Description: partial 16S ribosomal RNA
Rfam family: Bacterial small subunit ribosomal RNA
Source: RNAcentral